AGUGGUAUACUGACCAUGCGAAGGUAGCAUAAUCAUUUGCCCUCUAAUUAGGGGCUGGAAUGAAGGGUUGGACGAGAAACUAGCUGUCUCUUUUAAUUACUUGAAUUUAAUAAUUUGGUGAAAAAGCUAAAAUGUUCUUGGAGGACGAUAAGACCNUAUAGAUCUUUAUAGACCUAGUUGUGAUUUUUUGGUUGUUAUUGAAUUACAGUAAAGUUUAUUUUGUUGGGGCGACAUUGAGUGAAGAUCAAUCUCUCAUAAUGGUUUUACAAUUAUAAUUGGUACAGGAUCCUUUAAUGAAUUAGGAUUAAGUUACCUUAGGGAUAACAGCGUAAUUUCUUUUGAGAGUUCUAAUCGACAAAGAAGUUUGCGACCUCGAUGUUGGUUCAGGAUUCCUUUUAGGCGCAGUAGCUUGAUAAGGUAGUCUGUUC
Molecule: ribosomal RNA, 428 nt
Filed under: Streptocephalus torvicornis
Lineage: Eukaryota; Metazoa; Arthropoda; Branchiopoda; Anostraca; Streptocephalidae
Description: partial large subunit ribosomal RNA
Rfam family: Archaeal large subunit ribosomal RNA
Source: RNAcentral